UCCUAAGCUUUUUAUUAUAUUUGAUAUUGG
This 30-nucleotide non-coding RNA is filed under the name Mus musculus (house mouse). Lineage: Eukaryota; Metazoa; Chordata; Mammalia; Rodentia; Muridae. The record is from RNAcentral.